GCGGAAGUGGCUCAGUUGGUAGAGCAUCUCCUUGCCAAGGAGAAGGUCGCGAGUUCGAAUCUCGUCUUCCGCUCCA
This 76-nucleotide transfer RNA is filed under the name Chloroflexi bacterium 54-19. RNAcentral describes it as "tRNA-Gly". It matches the Rfam family "tRNA". From Rfam's summary of the family: Transfer RNA (tRNA) molecules are approximately 80 nucleotides in length. Their secondary structure includes four short double-helical elements and three loops (D, anti-codon, and T loops). Further hydrogen bonds mediate the characteristic L-shaped molecular structure. tRNAs have two regions of fundamental functional importance: the anti-codon, which is responsible for specific mRNA codon recognition, and the 3' end, to which the tRNAs corresponding amino acid is attached (by aminoacyl-tRNA synthetases). tRNAs cope with the degeneracy of the genetic code in two manners: having more than one tRNA (with a specific anti-codon) for a particular amino acid; and 'wobble' base-pairing, i.e. permitting non-standard base-pairing at the 3rd anti-codon position. RNAcentral also lists the same sequence under 1 other name. Lineage: Bacteria; Bacillati; Chloroflexota; Chloroflexia; Candidatus Chloroheliales. The record is from RNAcentral.